Molecule: ribosomal RNA, 228 nt
Filed under: uncultured bacterium
Lineage: Bacteria
Description: partial 16S ribosomal RNA
Rfam family: Bacterial small subunit ribosomal RNA
Source: RNAcentral
GAUCAUGGCUCAGGACGAACGCUGGCGGCGUGCUUAACACAUGCAAGUCGAACGGAGCACCCUUGAUUGAGGUUUCGGCCAAAUGAUAGGAAUGCUUAGUGGCGGACUGGUGAGUAACGCGUGAGGAACCUGCCUUUCAGAGGGGGACAACAGUUGGAAGCGACUGCUAAUACCGCAUGACGCAUUUUGAUCGCAUUGUCGAAAUGCCAAAGAUUUAUCGCUGAAAGA